This 798-nucleotide long non-coding RNA is filed under the name Homo sapiens (human). Its description in RNAcentral is "non-protein coding lnc-SOX17-4:7". The record is from RNAcentral. Lineage: Eukaryota; Metazoa; Chordata; Mammalia; Primates; Hominidae.
AGACUGCGCCUCGGAAUGCAGACGCUUCUCUGCCUAGAACCUGGCCCGGCCCUAUGGGAAAGCCCCGGUUCUCGGCGGCACUGAACUGGUUCAUAUUCUAAAGAGAGCAGGCACUGAGCAAAUGUUUGUUGAACUGAACCAAUCUGCUAGUUAUGGGGACAUGACCUCCACUUCAUGGUGUUGAACUAAACAAACACAUACUUCUCCAGACAAAUAUUAAAACUGGUGAACUUCAAAAUAACGUGAAAAGCUCCUAUGUUUCCAUGCCUCAUUAUAUGCCACAAAAAAUCAAAUGAUAACGAGAACAAAGUAGGUUAUUUUGUUUGCUAUUUAACUUGUGUGCAGGUCUUCACAGAAUGAGAGGCAUACCAACACUCAUGACCCCAGGCUAGUUCUGUUCUUUGCCAGUGUGUGGUUUGGGAGUUCUGUGAAGUGUUUGCAGUCGCUACUAAUAAUCCAGGUGACACGGCAAACAUUGCAGUUCCUAGGUCCAGCACAAUUAGAGGAGGGUUCACUCGUAGGCAGCAUCUGAGCAACAGGCUCACCAGACUUCAGCCUCUUCACUCCGACUCUUCCACGCUCCAGCUCUCUUCAUUAAGAUAUUCUAGAAGCAACUGAGGAGUUUCUACAAACAUUUUGGAAAUUACAGCAGGUCAAGUGGAAGUUUGUUUUCAUUUCAGUUAAGGUACGAGUUGUUCUGACUGCUGUGCAGACAUUCACACGCCCGCUGCUAGAAAGCUGGAGCUGGAAGGAGCAUUGGGGCCCGCUGAGUCCUCCUUUCUCAUGUAUGGAUGCGGA